This 1306-nucleotide long non-coding RNA is filed under the name Callithrix jacchus (white-tufted-ear marmoset). Its description in RNAcentral is "lncRNA (ENSCJAG00000074068.1)". The record is from RNAcentral. Lineage: Eukaryota; Metazoa; Chordata; Mammalia; Primates; Cebidae.
CCUGGAUGUAAGACAUGGAGUCAAAGGAGAUUAUUUGGAACUCUAUGGUUUAAUGACUGCCCUGUUGGAUUUUGAAUUUGCUUGGGGGCUGUAGCUCCUUAGUUUGGCUAAUUUCACCCACUUGUAAUUGAUAUAUUUACACUGGAUUCCAUCUUGCUUUUUAUUUUCCAGGCUCAUAGGUGGAAGGGGCUUGCCUUAUCUCAGGGAGCCACAGUGAAAGAAACCCAGGACCCGACAAGACAACAGAAGGGUAAUAAUUUGUGCCUGCCAGGCUCCUGGUCUCUCUUCUGUGGAAUUUGGCUGAGCUGACAGUAAAAAUCAACUAUUUAUCUCUUUUUUUCUCUGCAAAAUUUUGUUUAAUAUGAGAAAAGAAGUUGCAUGAAUAGUCUUGGGUAUAGCAAUGCUGUUGUACUUUAUGGUAUAAAUAUUCAUAUUGUUUGAUUCCUAUCUUACCCAAAAUAGUCUGUGAUAGUUAAUAUUGAUUAUCAACCUGAUUGGAUUGAAGGAUGCAAAAGAUUGUCGUUGGAUGUGUCUGUGAGGGUAUUGCCAAAAGAGAUUAACAUUUGAGUCAGUGAGUUGGGAAAUGUUGAACCACCCUGAAUCUGGAUGGGCACUAUCUAAUUAGCUGCCCAUGCAGCUAGGAUAAAAGCAGGCAAAGAAAUAUGGGAAGACUAGACUGGCUUAGUCUUUUGGCCUACAUCUUUCUCCCAUGCUGGAUGCUUCCUGUCCACGAAAAUUGAACUCCAGGUUUUCAGCUUUUUGACUUUUGAACCAUCAACCAUAGACUGAAGGCUGCACUGUCAGCUUCCCUACCUUUGAGAUUUUGGGACUUGGACUGUUUUCCUUUCUCCUCAGCUUGCAGAGGGCCUAUUGUGGAAAUUCCCCUUGUGAUUGCAUGAGUCACUACUCCUAAGUAAAUUCCCCUUUAUAUACAUCUAUCCUAUUAGUUCUGUCCCUCUAGAGAGUCUUGACUAAUACACAGCUUUUCCUUUCUUUGUCUUUCUGUGUUCUUCUAUCAUAAAAAGGGAUAUUACAGGGCAGAACAUGGGCUGAAAAUCACUGUAAUCCCAUUUUUCGAACUGGCCCUGCAGACUGGUCAGUUUUGCCAUUCUGAUAGGAAUUGUGUGUAAAAUUUGCUGUGGACCCCCAAAAUGAAAACUGGAUGAGUUUCCCCUCUUGUCUUGUUUUAUGUCCUUGAAGGUUUGACUUGUGACAAAGUAGGAGCACUCUUUGGCUCUCAACCAUAUGUGGGGGAGGGGCAUGAUUUUUUGGUCACAUUUGGUGGCUAAUCUGAAAAGAUUAGGAA